Molecule: ribosomal RNA, 1436 nt
Filed under: Scinax maracaya
Lineage: Eukaryota; Metazoa; Chordata; Amphibia; Anura; Hylidae
Description: partial 16S large subunit ribosomal RNA
Rfam family: Bacterial large subunit ribosomal RNA
Source: RNAcentral
GCCAAAAUUCUAGCUCCUUAUUAACCCAAUGCACCCUCUCCCCAACUCACCCUAAUUAAAACAUUCUUAUAUUAUAGUAAAGGAGAUUGAAAAAUUUUUCCGAAGCAAUAAACCUAGUACCGCAAGGGAAAGAUGAAAUAUUAGUGAAAAUAUUUAAGCAAAAAAAAGUAGAGCCCAACUCUCGUACCUUUUGCAUCAUGGUUCAACUAGUCUAAUCAAGCAAAAAGCAUUACAGUUUGACCUCCCGAAACUAAGCGAGCUACUUCAGGGCAGCUUAAUGAGCCAACCCGUCUCUGUUGCAAAAGAGUGGGAAGACCCCCAAGUAGCGGUGACAUAUCUAACGAGCUUAGUGAUAGCUGGUUACUCAGGAAAAGGAUUUUAGUCCGACCUAAAGUCUCACCUUUACCCCAAAAAACACCUUUGACUUUAGAGCAAUUCAAAUAAGGUACAGCCUAUUUGAAACAGGGUACAACCUAAUCUGACGGGUAAAAUUCAUUUUUGAGGGCCCCCAGUAGGCCUAAGAGCAGCCACCUUUCUAAAAGCGUCACAGCUUAGUUCCCCUCUUCAUCCCAAUUCCCCACACUAACUUAAACCCUCUUACAAUACUGAGUAAUCCUAUACUUUUAUAGAAAAUUUUAUGUUGAAACUAGUAACAAGAAUACAAACCUUCUCUUAAAUGCAAGCAUAAAUCAGAAAGGAUAAACCACUGAUAAUUAACGCCUAUGAAUACAUAUUAGCAACCCCGCAGGAAAACCCUAAUACACUUCACGUUGACCUGACACAAGAGCAUUUCAAGAAAGAUUAAAAGAAAGAGAAGGAACUCGGCAAAUAUUAACCCCGCCUGUUUACCAAAAACAUCGCCUCUUGACUAAAAAUAGGAGGUCCAGCCUGCCCAGUGACAAAUGUUCAACGGCCGCGGUAUCCUAACCGUGCGAAGGUAGCGUAAUCACUUGUUCUUUAAAUGGGGACUAGUAUGAAUGGCACCACGAGGGUUAUACUGUCUCCUCUUUCCAAUCAGUGAAACUAAUCUCCCCGUGAAGAAGCGGGGAUAAAACUAUAAGACGAGAAGACCCUAUGGAGCUUUAAACUUCUCUUCAACCGCCAGACUACUCUGAUAAGUCACCGACCCCUUAAUAUACACCUACGGCGCCGUGAAGAUGACUUUUAGGUUGGGGUGACCGCGGAGAACAAAAAAUCCUCCACGCUGAACUAGGCCUCCAAGCCUUGAACACAGGGCUACAACCCAAAGCACUAAAAAAUUAACACCCAUUGACCCAAUACUACUUGAUCAACGAACCAAGUUACCCUAGGGAUAACAGCGCAAUCCACUUCAAGAGUCCCUAUCGACAAGUGGGUUUACGACCUCGAUGUUGGAUCAGGGUAUCCCAGUGGUGCAGCCGCUACUAAUGGUUCGUUUGUUCAACGACUAAGACCCU